This 531-nucleotide long non-coding RNA is filed under the name Anser cygnoides (Swan goose). RNAcentral describes it as "lncRNA (ENSACDG00005002778.1)". The record is from RNAcentral. Lineage: Eukaryota; Metazoa; Chordata; Aves; Anseriformes; Anatidae.
AUGUCAGCUCACCAUCUGAUACAGAGCAACAUCAGAGAAACAGGCAGCUCUGCCUGGAGGCUGCCACCCCCUUACAGACACCUUGAAAGCAGCAAUGGUGAGAUCCAGGCGAUAUUGGGAGCAACGCAGCAGGGGAUGCUCCCAGCGGAGGCCGAGAGUCAGAGGCAGGAGACGAAAAAGGAGGCAAGGGAGAAUGAGGAGAAGGGCAGGAGGGAGCAAGAAGUACCAUUACAGGAGGUUGAGCACCACUGCCCUGGAGCAGUAGGGACCUGCAGGUGUGGAUUUCCUGCCGGGAGGGUCUGUGUCACACCCCACCAAGGUCACAGGGAGAUCUCUGUCACCUCACAAACCUUUGACAUCACUGGUGGAGCCUCUGAAGGCUUCCAAGGCUUUCUGCAUGUCCUUCCUCAAUGCUUCCUCUCCAGAAGGGGUGAUCCUCUGCUCUCAGGGCAAGGUUUACCUUGGGUGGCAUCACUACUGACAACAGGCUGGCUCUGCACCUUUGCAUUUUCCCACUGCUCUCAUUUUUGA